This 28-nucleotide small RNA is filed under the name Bombyx mori (domestic silkworm). Its description in RNAcentral is "piRNA piR-bmo-1817228". Lineage: Eukaryota; Metazoa; Arthropoda; Insecta; Lepidoptera; Bombycidae. The record is from RNAcentral.
UUACAUGACUGACAUUAAUUUAUUUUAC